CCUAUUGUCACCUCAUUGUCUGCAUUGUAGCUGUCCCCCACAUAGAAAUAGAAUGAAUUCAUUCUAUGGUCCCCCAUCACUCUCCCCAUCAGCCCCUUGAUCAUCUGGUCUGAGGCAGACGACAUAUCACUGCCUCCUCUCUGUAGGGAGGCAAUAAUCUCCUCCACCAUCCUCCCUCUGCCAAGCCCCAUAGCCGUGGCCACUGACUCUUCAGGGUCUUCUGCUGGUCCUCCUGGCCCUCAGCCCCUAUGAUCCCCCGGGCCUCAUGAAGCUGCUCUGUGGUAAACUUGACAGUACAGAUGCUGUCGUCAGUGGAAGUCCUUGGUGUAGGUGUAGACCUAUCUUUCGGUUUCCUCAUUUUCUUUUUUUUUUUAUCUUCCGCAGGGGCGUUCCCGUGGGAUUGGUCGGAGACCGAGUCCUCACUGUUCCUGCUCUCAUCCGUGCUGUCCAAGCUCAGAGCCUGACAUCUGCUGAGGAAGUUGGAUCUCCGGAUGCGCCACUCAGCCGCUUCCUUCUCCAAGAUAGACACCUGCUCUGACUCCUUCUUGCUCUUGUAUAUACACAUUCUGGUCCCUGUUGCUGGCCUCUCUGGUCCUGGGCUUUGAAGGAGACUGUGGCCUCAUGGACAUGGACACCACUUUGGUAGUGCCUGCUAGCUGAGGCAUGGCCGGCUUCGAGGCAGGUUUGUGCUCUGGAGGACACAGGGCCAAAUGAACUGAAUCAAUAGCAUUGCUGACAUCUCUCUCUCCACUGAUUCCUUACAUAUGUGUUAUCCCUUGACUUUUGCUCACCUCUGACUUCCUUUAAGGGAUGUCUGGUAGUAGUGUGAUCUGUGGUAAGGAGGCAGGUGGGGAUUGUAGCAGAUCUGCAUGGAACUCCAACGGGCUGUCUGACCCUGCAGACAUUGUUGAGGUCUUAUUUUGGGGUUAGUCCGACGUCCCUCUGUAGCUUCUUCCAUCAGUCCUCAUGACUUCAGUGUGUGGGGAGAGUCUGCUGGCUGGGCUAUUGUGCUAUCGUUGCGUUGGAGUUGAAAAACAGCUGAUUCAUUUUUAGGAAGUCACGCGUAGAGCCUCGAACUCUUUCUUCAGCUUCAGCUCCUCUGUGGCUCAGAUCUUCUUAUUUCUCAGUAUGUUGCCCUGUGUCUAUCAACAUGACCAAGUGUUGGAAAGUGAAACAUUUAAAAAAAAUAAAAAGUAC
RNAcentral lists this long non-coding RNA (1197 nucleotides) under Salmo salar (Atlantic salmon). RNAcentral describes it as "lncRNA (ENSSSAG00000101820.1)". Lineage: Eukaryota; Metazoa; Chordata; Actinopteri; Salmoniformes; Salmonidae. The record is from RNAcentral.